This is a long non-coding RNA of Carya illinoinensis, 2167 nucleotides long. RefSeq lists it as uncharacterized. The transcript has 2 exons. Lineage: Eukaryota; Viridiplantae; Streptophyta; Magnoliopsida; Fagales; Juglandaceae. The record is from RefSeq and is a predicted model, not a curated record.
UUUUCCUUAUGCGUUUCUUUUAUUGUUGACAUUAUUAUAGAGGUUUUAAUUAGUAUCAAGCGCAGUCAGCUUUUUAAUUAGAGGCUUCGGGAAAAACAAAACAAAUUUAAAAAAAAAAAAAUGGAAAAGUGGGGUUCAGUAAUCUGUGAUCUUAACCCCAAUAUUCUUCUUGGGAUUGAUGGUUAAAAAAAGAAAAAAUAAAAAGAAAAUGAAGAAAACCCUCAAAUCUCCUUAUAUAAACAACUCCCUCCCCAUCCCCUAAACCUACAUCUCUCUCUCCCCCUGAUCUACCCCUGCAUUCUUGCUUCCUUUCUCUCCCUUUUUCUUAGAUUUUGACCCAUCUUUAUUCACUGGGUUGUUUUUAAGUGGUUGAAGCUUUCAACUUUCAACCAUCUUAUCUACUCCCAUGUGGUGUCUAUAGAUGACCCUUUUUGUAUUUUUCCACAGCUUUCUUGAACUGCAUAUAUGAGUGAUCUCUCUGCAUGCAGAGAUAAUGUUUUUCUUCUUGUUUGCGGUUCAAUAAAGCUGUGGGAAGAUACAGAAAGUGUCAAGAAAGUUCAAGAUCUGCUUUCGGUAUUAUUACUUAUAAUCCCUAAUUCCUCUUUGUUUUUAUGAUCCCGAUCUGAUUAUUUCCUUGGUUACGCAACGGUCGAUGGCAUUUCUCUGAACGCGAAGGUUCUUUUCUGAUCUUAAUUCUUUCAGUACAUGAGAUGUGUGGCUGAUGCUUCUUUUCUUUUUCUUUUUUCCUUUCCCUUGCUAAACAGUACUCAGACAGUCGGAAAUAUUAUGGAAGUAUAUACAUCUCUGAACCCUUAAGCUUCAAAUGGGAUUGUACGUACGAAGAAACUAAAUUCAUUUCACUUCCCACAGAAAAAAAAAAAAAAAAGAAUGUGAAAUUCAGUUCGAAUUAUACAUAAAUGUGGUAUCUCCACAUCCUGAUUCAACUUUAUACCCCUCCCCACUUAAUUCAAAUUUCAGUAUGUAUGUGUAGAAAUACAAUUCUGCAUAUCAGUUAUAAAAUAUCACUUUUUUCAUUUGAAUCUUUGGAGCUUUAUUAUAUCAUGGUAUUGAUGAAUCGUUGUAUAAUACAGCUCUACAGGGGCCUAUAGUUAAAUCUCUCUCUCUCUCUCUCUCUCUCUCUCUCUCUCUGACAGUCUGGAAAUAUCAUCGACAAGUAGCUUUUUCUAAUGCUAUUUUAUGACACAGAUAUAACGAUGGCUUUGUUCCCUCCUGAGCAGAUACAUACAACGAUUCACUGGAUAGUGCCUUUCCCUCUUGUCUGGCUAGCUAGAUUCUUCUCUUUCUGUUCUUCUUGUGUGAUUUUCUUCUUCUUAUUCUUCCAUUGUUAAUUACUCCACAUAUGGCCAAUUUUGGGUUUCUUUAUUUACAUAUAUAUAAUUGUUUGGGCUCCCUCGAUCGCUUUAUUACUUGUUACUGUUCCGCUGUGUAGCUAGGUUAAAUUGCAGGAUCAUGAACAAAAUAUAUACCACUUGUAGAUCAAACGUCUGCUAGCCAUCACCUGGCAUUUCUAAUUUACCUGCUGCGGACGGCCUGUGACCGGAUCUGUAAGUAUUCAGAGUCAGUCAACAAGAUUCUUUAACAUUGGAUAUUCUUUAAGAUGGGAGCCACCACGUUCCAUUUUCGAUCGCUGACAAAUGAAGCCUCACACAUUGUAAGAGCAAUGUGUGUGUGUGUGUGCCUUGAGGGUUGCCCAAGUCUUGGUCAAUUCAAUCCUCUUUAUUUCUUUAUGAUGUUCCCGCUUCCCUUGAAACUAGAGUUGACAGACAGCUUCUAUAUCUGCGGCAGUGAACUGGGAGUUCUUCAAUGAAUUCUCCUCGAUAACUCACAUCACACACACACACACACGCCUUCAUUUACUCUUUUCUUGCCACUGGACCAACGAAGAAAAUAUGGGAUUUGACCAUUUAUUUGGCUCUAAUCUUCCUAUUUAUUGUGUUGAUGUAGUAUCUGUAAUAAGGUUUUUGCUGGCCGGGCCGUACUCAUGACCCCCUCCAACAAUCUUAUCAAUCCGGCCAGUAUUAGUAGGAUUGAUCUGGCCUUUUUUUGCCUCUUCUAUGAUUUGGGAGAAGAAAAAUUGAACUUUGAUCCCAUCAUUGUUGUAGAUUAAUGAUCUCAUAUUUAUGUAGGAACCGGCCUGAUGCAUGAA